Molecule: long non-coding RNA, 241 nt
Organism: Penaeus monodon (black tiger shrimp)
Lineage: Eukaryota; Metazoa; Arthropoda; Malacostraca; Decapoda; Penaeidae
Exons: 3
Source: RefSeq, a predicted model, not a curated record
CCGGCGUAACAGGGCAAUAGAUGGCGCCGACUGCAACUGCGUCGCUGAAAACCCAUCAACAAGUGAAGGGCCGGGCCAUAAGUGAAAGGCCCGGGCGAAGCCAGAACUUCGCAAAUCUCAAGCAAGCAAGCAACAAGUGAAGCAAGGAACGACCUGUUGUUCUUCUGUCAGUCGGACUAUGCAUACCAUGUAGAUGCAUUGUAAGUAAUCUUGUAUGGUUUUAGUUAUUAAUUUUAUUAUA